Molecule: ribosomal RNA, 907 nt
Filed under: uncultured bacterium
Lineage: Bacteria
Description: bacterial SSU rRNA
Rfam family: Bacterial small subunit ribosomal RNA
Source: RNAcentral
UNGGAAUUACUGGGCGCAAAGCGGGCGCAGACGGUUACUUAAGCAGGAUGUGAANUCCCCGAGCUCAGCCCGGGAACUGCGUUNUGAACUGGGUGACUAGAGUGUGUCAGAGGGAGGUAGAAUUCCACGUGUAGCAGUGAAAUGCGUAGAGAUGUGGAGGAAUACCGAUGGCGAAGGCAGCCUCCUGGGAUAACACUGACGUUCAUGCCCGAAAGCGUGGGUAGCAAACAGGAUUAGAUACCCUGGUAGUCCACGCCCUAAACGAUGUCGAUUAGCUGUUGGGCAGCAUGACUGCUUAGUAGCGAAGCUAACGCGUGAAAUCGACCGCCUGGGGAGUACGGUCGCAAGAUUAAAACUCAAAGGAAUUGACGGGGACCCGCACAAGCGGUGGAUGAUGUGGAUUAAUUCGAUGCAACGCGAAGAACCUUACCUGGUCUUGACAUGUACGGAACCCUCCAGAGACGGAGGGGUGCCUUCGGGAGCCGUAACACAGGUGCUGCAUGGCUGUCGUCAGCUCGUGUCGUGAGAUGUUGGGUUAAGUCCCGCAACGAGCGCAACCCUUGUCAUUAGUUGCCAUCAUUAAGUUGGGCACUCUAAUGAGACUGCCGGUGACAAGCCGGAGGAAGGUGGGGAUGACGUCAAGUCCUCAUGGCCCUUAUGACCAGGGCUUCACACGUCAUACAAUGGUCGGUACAGAGGGUAGCCAAGCCGCGAGGUGGAGCCAAUCUCACAAAACCGAUCGUAGUCCGGAUUGCACUCUGCAACUCGAGUGCAUGAGGUCGGAAUCGCUAGUAAUCGCAGGUCAGCAUACUGCGGUGAAUACGUUCCCGGGUCUUGUACACACCGCCCGUCACACCAUGGGAGUGGGGGAUACCAGAAGUAGGUAGGGUAACCGCAAGGAGCCCGC